This 728-nucleotide ribosomal RNA is filed under the name uncultured eukaryote. RNAcentral describes it as "SSU rRNA". It matches the Rfam family "Eukaryotic small subunit ribosomal RNA", at positions 671 to 1426 of the family's 1831-position model. The record is from RNAcentral.
GGCGAGUACUGGAUUCAACCGAGCCUUUCCUCCUGGCUAACUAGUUUCCCUUGUGGAGGCUAGCGAACCAGGACUUUUACUUUGAGAAAAUUAGAGUGUUCAAAGCAGGCAUUUGCUUGAAUAUAUUAGCAUGGAAUAAUAGAAUAGGACGUUAUGGUUCUAUUUUGUUGGUUUCUAGGACCAUCGUAAUGAUUAAUAGGGACGGUCGGGGGCAUCAGUAUUCAGUUGUCAGAGGUGAAAUUCUUGGAUUUACUGAAGACUAACUACUGCGAAAGCAUUUGCCAAGGACGUUUUCAUUAAUCAAGAACGAAAGUUAGGGGAUCGAAGAUGAUCAGAUACCGUCGUAGUCUUAACCAUAAACUAUGCCGACUAGGGAUCGGACGAUGUUAUUUCUUGACGCGUUCGGCACCUUACGAGAAAUCAAAGUUUUUGGGUUCUGGGGGGAGUAUGGUCGCAAGGCUGAAACUUAAAGGAAUUGACGGAAGGGCACCACCAGGAGUGGAGCCUGCGGCUUAAUUUGACUCAACACGGGGAAACUCACCAGGUCCAGACACAAUAAGGAUUGACAGAUUGAGAGCUCUUUCUUGAUUUUGUGGGUGGUGGUGCAUGGCCGUUCUUAGUUGGUGGAGUGAUUUGUCUGCUUAAUUGCGAUAACGAACGAGACCUUAACCUACUAAAUAGUGCUGCUAGCUUUUGCUGGUAUAGUCACUUCUUAGAGGGACUAUCGA